AUGAGAUACAUAAUACACAAGGAGGAAAAUAUUGGCAAGCUGGACAGAACUAUAAGGAAUCUAGAAGCCAGGAAGCAGGAAAUCCAAAUCCGUCUUAUGAACUCCGAAAGGAAGCAAGAAACAUGUAACCCUGAAGUUGCAGAAUGGCUAGAGAAAGUGGCAGAAAUAGAAAGUGAAGUGAAUGAGAUGAAACAUGGGCAGAGGAAGAGAAGGGCCCAGUCUUUCAGCUAUUGGUCAAAUUACGAAACUGGUAUGCAGGCUGCCAAGAAACUCAAGGAAGCUGAGAUGUUGCAUGAGAAGGGAUCCUUCAAACAGGUGUCAAUUGAGGUUCCACCAUGUUCCGUGCAAGAAAUGCCCACUGUACCUUCAACACAAGGAGCAGACUGUAACUUAAGCAGAGUCCUCCAGUACCUCAAAGAUGACAGAGUUGGAAUUGUAGGGGUAUGGGGAAUGGGAGGAGUUGGUAAGACCACUCUGCUCAGGAAAAUCAACAAUCACUUGUUGGGUGUGAUCGAAGAAGACUAUGGAUACGACCUUGUUAUAUAUGUUGUGGUGUCUAAGGCGUGUGGAAUAGGGCAGCUCCAAGCAGACAUCUCUGAAAAGAUUGGUCUCUUCCUGAAACCAGGCUCCAGCAUUGAAACACGGGCUUCAGUCAUGUUAAGUUUCAUAAGGCAGAAGAAGUUCUUGCUCCUGCUAGAUGAUUUAUGGAAUUAUUUGGAUCUAGCAGAAGCUGGUAUUCCAUAUCCUAGUGGCCUGAAUAAACAGAAGGUAGUUCUGGCAACACGGUAUGAGAGUGUUUGUGCAAAUAUGGAUGCUCACAACAGGGUUUUCCUGGAAUGCUUGGACCAAGAAAAAGCUUGGAAAUUGUUCAAAGAAAAAGCAACAGAAGAAACCAUUAAUUCAGAUCCUAGGAUCGAAAAGUUAGCACAUGUAGUUGCAGAAGAAUGUGGGGGCUUGCCCCUUGCUCUCAUAACUAUCGGCCGUGCAAUGUCUUCAAAGAAGUCUUAUCAUGAAUGGGCACUUGCUUUAUCAUUUCUGAAGAAGUCUCGCAUUCAUGAGAUCCCAAAUAUGGGGAAUGUUAGCCACCUAUACAAUAGGUUAAAGAUAAGUUAUGAUUAG
This 1119-nucleotide ribosomal RNA is filed under the name Triticum aestivum (bread wheat). Its description in RNAcentral is "partial small subunit ribosomal RNA". Lineage: Eukaryota; Viridiplantae; Streptophyta; Magnoliopsida; Poales; Poaceae. The record is from RNAcentral.